CGUUAGUCCGGGAAUUUAUUGGGCGGUAAAGCGCGCGCCAGGUGGGUUUCUUAAGUCUGAUGUGAAAAGCCCACGGCUUCAACCGUGGAGGGUUCAUUUGGAAAACUGGGAGACUUUGAGUGCAGAAGAGGAUAGUGGAAUUCCCAAAGUGUAGCGGUGAAAUGCGUAGAGAUUUGGAGGAACACCAGUGGCGAAGGCGACUAUCUGGUCUGUAACUGACACUGAGGCGCGAAAGCGUGGGGAGCAAACAGGAUUAGAUACCCUGGUAGUCCACGCCGUAAACGAUGAGUGCUAAGUGUUAGGGGGUUUCCGCCCCUUAGUGCUGCAGCUAACGCAUUAAGCACUCCGCCUGGGAGUACGGUCGCAAGACUGAAACUCAAAGGAAUUGACGGGGGCCCGCACAAGCGGUGGAGCAUGUGGUUUAAUUCGAAGCGACGCGAAGAACCUUACCAGGUCUUGACAUCCCGUUGACCACUGUAGAGAUAUGGUUUUCCCUCCGGGGACAACGGUGACAGGUGGUGCAUGGUUGUCGUCAGCUCGUGUCGUGAGAUGUCGGGUUAAGUCCCGCAACGAGCGCAACCCUUGAUCUUAGUUGCCAUCAUUUAGUUGGGCACUGUAAGGUGAUUGCCGGUGACAAACCGGAGGAAGGUGGGGAUGACGUCAAAUCAUCAUGCCCCUUAUGACCUGGGCUACACACGUGCUACAAUGGACGAUACAAACGGUUGCCAACUCGCGAGAGGGAGCUAAUCCGAGAAAGUCG
Molecule: ribosomal RNA, 760 nt
Filed under: uncultured Lysinibacillus sp.
Lineage: Bacteria; Bacillati; Bacillota; Bacilli; Caryophanales; Bacillaceae
Description: bacterial SSU rRNA
Rfam family: Bacterial small subunit ribosomal RNA
Source: RNAcentral